AACCUCACCGACCAAAUCCAGGUACGGCUACCAAGCUCACUAGUCCCACUCAUUUGAGACCUAAUGACUCACUCACUAAUUCCUCACCAUGGGAAUUAGCUACCACCCCAAGGGCCAUGCUAUGCACGCUAAAUCACCUAGCAUGCAAACAUCAACAACAAUCCACAAUAACUCAUCACUAAUUCCUCACCAUGGGAAUUAGC
This 203-nucleotide long non-coding RNA is filed under the name Lathyrus oleraceus (garden pea). RNAcentral's name for it is "Pisum sativum (pea) long non-coding RNA (PSAT_LNC027472)". Lineage: Eukaryota; Viridiplantae; Streptophyta; Magnoliopsida; Fabales; Fabaceae. The record is from RNAcentral.